CAAGGAAGAGUUUGGUUAAAAUACUAGCAUUGGAAGCGAGAGGCCUGCAGUUUGUAGUUCCUUGAC
This 66-nucleotide transfer RNA is filed under the name Geomydoecus aurei. RNAcentral describes it as "tRNA-Pro". Lineage: Eukaryota; Metazoa; Arthropoda; Insecta; Psocodea; Trichodectidae. The record is from RNAcentral.